This 71-nucleotide transfer RNA is filed under the name Hyphomicrobiales bacterium. Its description in RNAcentral is "tRNA-Leu". It matches the Rfam family "tRNA". From Rfam's summary of the family: Transfer RNA (tRNA) molecules are approximately 80 nucleotides in length. Their secondary structure includes four short double-helical elements and three loops (D, anti-codon, and T loops). Further hydrogen bonds mediate the characteristic L-shaped molecular structure. tRNAs have two regions of fundamental functional importance: the anti-codon, which is responsible for specific mRNA codon recognition, and the 3' end, to which the tRNAs corresponding amino acid is attached (by aminoacyl-tRNA synthetases). tRNAs cope with the degeneracy of the genetic code in two manners: having more than one tRNA (with a specific anti-codon) for a particular amino acid; and 'wobble' base-pairing, i.e. permitting non-standard base-pairing at the 3rd anti-codon position. The record is from RNAcentral. Lineage: Bacteria; Pseudomonadati; Pseudomonadota; Alphaproteobacteria; Hyphomicrobiales.
AGGGUGUAGCUCAACGGUGGAGCGCCUGCUUAAGAAGCGGGGGGUUGCGGGUUCGAAUCCCGCCAUCCUCG